GUAAAAUUCCUACAGAAAAGUAUUGUAAAUCCAAAAACAUAUAUUUUUUGUUUAAAUCACAGUGAACUUUUGUAAACUAUUAAACAGAAUGUUUUGUUAUAUUUACAACAACGAUAUGCGAUUAUAAUCAAAUUUAUUUGUUAAAACUACAAAGAUUGGUAUAAAAAACAGAGAAAUACUGUAAUACUCAUAACAAAACAACUUUGUUCAUUUGACAUGUAAAUAUUGUCAAAACUAAAGUUUUAGUCAGUUGUUCUUAAAAAUACAACUAAAGUAAGUCACUAUACAAGUUUAUGCUGUACUUGUAACAUGAUUGAUGCAAAUUGAGGUAGUAAAAAUGUUUUUACAAAAAAAUCUAUUGUCAACCUGAGAGGUUGCCUGUCUGUAUUUAUAUAUAAAAAUAUAGGCUACAAUUAUAAUAACAUUGUUAUUAUAAUUCAGGCUAUUUGUAGCAUAUUGUAGAGUUUGUAUAAGAAAUUAAAUUUAUUGAUAUGCAAAGUAAUAGGUAAGGUUCAGUCCUAAUCCUUAUAUGCCUUAUGUUUAUUUUAGUCUUUAAAUUGUAAUGUAAUUCUUAACCUACUGGUUUUCUACAUAGGCCUAUUGAUAAAACAAAAGUAAUAAUUUGAGCAUUGUGUCAUUAUCACAGGCUAAACAAUUAAACAGUGCCUUCAGUAACCGCUUUGAUUUAUUUGUAGCCUACUCUGUUUAUAGAGUAUGUGUAUAAGGAAUUAAAAUUAUUGAGGCCUGUGCAAAGUAACACUUCUGUUCAGUCAUAACCAUAAUCCUUGUCUGCUUUAUGUUUCUUUAAAUGUUUAUGUUAUGCUUAGCCUACUGGUUUUCUAUGUAUAUUUAUAAAUUAUUUCAGCAUUGUUUUCAGCACUGUAUCAUUAUCACAGGCUAAACAACCAGUGCCUCCUCUAACCACAGACUUGUACUUGUCCUCUCUUAUUGUGCUCUGCCACUGAGUCUGCUAAUUUUGAAUUUCAUAGUUCGCAGAUAAGCUCGUCUCUGAUUGGAUAAUGACGUGAGGCGCGGGAGACGCUCACCUGCGGCUGACGUCAAUAACGAGCGAGUCAGAGCAGCGCUUGUUAGAAAGAAAACAGGCACAGCAGAAGUCUUCGGAACAGUGUCUCUACAAUUUUAAGAAGUUUUUAAGCGGGUCUGCUGCUGUUCAAUUGGAAAAUUAAAAGUUUGCACGGUACUGUGAAAUCACAAGAAGUGAGUUUGUGGCUGAUCCGAAUGUCUGUGGACCUUUACGCACCCCAGAAACGUAUGACGCAGCUGUUGCUGAUCUCCAGGCUGAAAACAUCCAAGGCGUCAGAGGGAUAAAGGUGCCAUUUUCUCUUUAGUGCAAAUAUGACUGACUCAGAGCGAACCUUCCUAGAUGUCGCCAUCAUGGAAGUCCUACCACAACUUCAAGCAGUAAACAAAAACAUCCUGGAAGAGCACUUGCAGUCCAUUGGAGUCGAGACAUAUGAUGAUCUACGCUUCGUAACGGAGGCUGAUUUGAUGACAGCAUUAAGACCUGUAGAAGCCAGAAAGCUUCUUUCUGCUUGGAAACGGAAAUACCACACUCCCGAGAAGAGUUCACUAUCAUCUGUGGAAGCCUCACCUACCCAAUUGCUGCCAACGCUCUCUGUUUCACCCCAAAGUUCAUCGUCAAGCUCCUCUAGCAGCCCAGGACUUGACACACAGUGGGACGUCAACUUUGAAAUUCCAUGGAG
This is a long non-coding RNA of Puntigrus tetrazona (Sumatra barb), 1724 nucleotides long. RefSeq lists it as uncharacterized. The transcript has 4 exons. Lineage: Eukaryota; Metazoa; Chordata; Actinopteri; Cypriniformes; Cyprinidae. The record is from RefSeq and is a predicted model, not a curated record.